CACAAUGCUAAUAAUGCAGGCUCACUAAAUCUGAUGACCAAUCAGGGACCUGAGAACAGUGUUGCUAUGACAACCCGGAGUCGCUUGACGGUUGGUCUCUGGAAUUGGCCUGGCCUGAGGUUGCCAGACCCUGGAAGCAGAGGCGAACUCAAGGCCAAAACUCUAAAGAUGUGAGAACUGCCCCAGGAUCUAUCUUGCAACCUGAGUGAGUCACUGUUUCCUGCCAUCUACACCACUGAGUCAAUUGGCCACUGAUGACAGCCCAGUCCUGUAUGCCACUGCGCAGUAAAGGGUUGACUUAGCAGACCUGGAUUGCUCAAACCCUGCACAUUCCAGACAGACCUGGCCAUUUCCCGUGAUUCUGGGGGAUCAUCUCUAAACCUUGGAAUGCCCUGCCUAGUAAAUCUUGUGUACCUGGUAGGCUAUGUCAACAAUAUUAGUGAUAGCAUGAACCUUAGGUCACACUAUCAAAUUGAUCUCUAGGGCAGCUGGAGACUAAGUUCAUUAAGUUAAGUUGCUAUAUGUUUCUGUUGCUGCUUUCCAAAUAAAAACCCUGGAGAAGCCAAACCUAGGGUGAUGUCCUCUUGUUUGACUUGUUUGUAUAAACUUCUCCUGGAAAGGAACAAAAUGUCUUCACCCAUGAGAGAGCACCCGGGAGAGACCAAAAAAAUUAUUCCAGGACGUUCAAAGUGUCUCAGCAUGUAAAGGAG
Molecule: long non-coding RNA, 710 nt
Filed under: Rattus norvegicus (Norway rat)
Lineage: Eukaryota; Metazoa; Chordata; Mammalia; Rodentia; Muridae
Description: long non-coding RNA NONRATT031512
Source: RNAcentral